UUUUUUUAAAUUUCCUCACUCAACCAGCCGUCAAAAGCCUCCCUUUGUUUUCCUUUUGCUUCCCAGCCGCCUGAAGCUUUUUCCUCUAUUUUUUCUUUCUCAACUUUUCUCACUCCGUCGCACCUCUAUUUCUCCUGUUUUUUUCCUCCUGACCGAAGCUCUCUGUUUCCUCUUUUCCGUCCUCUCACAAUUUCCAGAUUUUCCCCCUAUUCUCUCAACUCUUUCGGUCUUUUUUUUCUUUGGGUUCCCCCGUCCGCCGCCCCUUUCUUUUUCGUUCCUUUCUCCUCUUUUGGUUAUCUUCUCUGUUUUCUUCCAAAGCUCCCGAUUUCUCCCUCGCGC
Molecule: long non-coding RNA, 339 nt
Filed under: Coffea arabica (coffee)
Lineage: Eukaryota; Viridiplantae; Streptophyta; Magnoliopsida; Gentianales; Rubiaceae
Description: long non-coding RNA (CARA_LNC005895)
Source: RNAcentral